CGCAACUUCAUUUUCUUCAGACAUAUAAAUUCAUUCCCUCUCCUUAAUUUUUGUCUCUCCUUCAGUUUCUUAGGUGAAACAUGUAGAAUUAUCACCUGAAUCUCCAAUUCCUCUUGCUCCUGCUGUGGAUCAUCAAUUCGGUGCCUUGGAAUAUGAAAAUGUGUUCUGAUAUCAGCUUUUUGAAGUAAGCUUCUUCUAGACCUCUGACUGUUCAGCUCUUCUUCUCCCUUACUGAUUGCUCCUUUAUCUUCUCUUUGUUAUUUCAGCUGAGAUCUCUGGUGGAUGGAUUUUAUCAUUGACUUUGGUGUUGAUUUGAGGGUCAAAGGUUCCUGGAGCUGAUUGCAUGUCCAGGUAUACUUCGAUCUUCUUCUCUGCACCUUGUGCUUGUUCUUUACUCUAACUUUGCGAUUUAAGAUCUGUUUGAUCAUAGAUAUUGCAGAUUUUGGAAAAAAGUUUUGAUAGAACCUAUUUGACGAUAAAAAUUAUUAAAUUUGACAAAAAAAUAAGACCUCACAAUCUAAAGCAGAUAUAUCAUUCAUUAUAAAAGUGGUGCAUAUACAUUUUCGUCGAUUAACAACUGAUGCAUAUUUAUCAUUUUUAUUAACUUGCUAUAGCAACAACAGACUCAGUGUAUCCUCACCAAGUGAGGUCUGGGGAAGUAAAAUGUACGCAGUCCAUAUCACUACCUCUGAAAAGGUAGAGAGGGCUAUUUUCGAAUGACCUCGGCUCAAAAAUGAGAAUAGUAUACCAAGACCGUAAUGAAACAUGAGACAUGAUGGAUAACAUAAAUAGAAAUAAAAGAUAAAAUAUAAUAGCAAUAAAUAUCAUAGAAUUGCAAAAUAAGAGAAAAUACGAGCAACACGAAAUAAGUAUAAGAAAACAGAUACUUUUAUUAACUUGCCUAAAUUUAGUAAAUUUGAAAAUAAUAUAAAAUUAAUUUUUUAUCAAAAAAAUGUAAUGUGACUUUAAAUAAUUAUCUCACAAAUUUUUCUUACUCUUCCAGAUCCGACCAAUGUUGACACCUAAUUUUUGCCCUCCCGAUCGGAUUCAUCCUUGAGAUUCUUUGAUUUUAAAUAAAAUUACCACAUUUAUUUUUAUCUGAAUAAGAUAUUUUUAAAAAAUUUAUCUAGGUAAUUUUGUCAUCUUAAAGUAACAAUUAUAUAUUUUCGUAUUCAUAUAUAAGAAAUCGUACAAUUUUAUUAAUUAAAUAAUUAUUUUUACAAAAAAAAUAAAAGAUUUUAAUCAAGGGUUAUAUUGGA
This 1259-nucleotide long non-coding RNA is filed under the name Capsicum annuum. RNAcentral's name for it is "long non-coding RNA (CANN_LNC014826)". Lineage: Eukaryota; Viridiplantae; Streptophyta; Magnoliopsida; Solanales; Solanaceae. The record is from RNAcentral.